AUACGGAGGGGGCUAGCGUUGUUCGGAAUUACUGGGCGUAAAGCGCGCGUAGGCGGAUUGAUCAGUCAGGGGUGAAAUCCCGAGGCUUAACCUCGGAACUGCCUUUGAUACUGUCAAUCUUGAGUUCGAGAGAGGUGAGUGGAAUUCCUAGUGUAGAGGUGAAAUUCGUAGAUAUUAGGAAGAACACCAGUGGCGAAGGCGGCUCACUGGCUCGAUACUGACGCUGAGGUGCGAAAGCGUGGGGAGCAAGCAGAAUUAGAAACCCCAGUAGUCC
This 274-nucleotide ribosomal RNA is filed under the name uncultured bacterium. Its description in RNAcentral is "partial 16S ribosomal RNA". It matches the Rfam family "Bacterial small subunit ribosomal RNA", at positions 523 to 796 of the family's 1533-position model. The record is from RNAcentral.